This 443-nucleotide long non-coding RNA is filed under the name Homo sapiens (human). RNAcentral's name for it is "non-protein coding lnc-TRAPPC2-1:1". The record is from RNAcentral. Lineage: Eukaryota; Metazoa; Chordata; Mammalia; Primates; Hominidae.
ACUUUCGUUUUUUAGCAGCAAAGUUUGUUGAUGUACUUUACAACUUAUCUUUUCUGCUUCUACUCAGGACAGUCAAGACAGUGCUCAGCUAGAUGUUCACAUAACUGUAGACAUAAAUGUGAAUCUAUUUAACGCAGUAAUUAAUUCAAAAAGUGUUUUUAGCAUCCUAGCAUGCAUCAGUUGAUAUGAAAGUAGUAAAUGUUAAUUGAGUGGUCUUGUGCAUCCUGGACUUCUCAUCUGUGCAUAUUCUCAUUCUUUGCCUGCAAAGGGCCAGUAAAAGCACAGUGAUGGUUGAACGAAUGUGACAGCCUCCUUUGCUGAUGCCUUACCCCAAGAAAUUAAAUCACCUAACUGAUAUCUUAUGGUCUGAUUGGAACAGGAUUUCAAUAGCAGCCCUGGGAAAGUAAGUUCCAGAAAGUAUACUUCUCUUCACUCAAGGAAAG